RNAcentral lists this non-coding RNA (166 nucleotides) under human gut metagenome. The record is from RNAcentral.
CUUCAGGUGCCGGCUUCUGCCGGAGAAUAGGGAAACGGGUGUGAUUCCCGUGCGGUCCCGCCGCUGUAAGGGGAUAGUAACGGUGCAGAUUUUGCCACUGGGAAACCGGGAAGGCGUUGUGCCAGAUGCGAUGAUCCCCAAGCCAGAAUACCUGCCUGCUGCAUUA